AUGAAGAACGCAGCGAAAUGCGAUAAUUAAUGUGAAUUGCAGAAUUCCGUGAAUCAUCGAGUCUUUGAACGCACAUUGCGCCUCAUGGCAUUCCGUGAGGCAUGCCCAUCUCAGCGUUAGAAAAUAUUCUCAAAUUUUAGUUUUGUGCUAAAAUUUGGAUCAUGUCAAGGAAGCUAUUACUAUUAUUGUGAUCGCUCUUUGGAAAUUGAUAGGUCUUUGAGUUGCUACUCAUAGAACGUGAUGAAUCUUUCUUCGUUCUAUUGUAAUUCACUCUGGUAGUCCUAAAACUUGUAUGCCUGUGGCAUAUCUUGUAAUUUGACCUGAGAUUGGGUAGGGAUACCCGCUGAACUUAAGCAUAUCAAUAAGCGGAGGA
This 373-nucleotide unclassified non-coding RNA is filed under the name soil metagenome. RNAcentral describes it as "partial contains internal transcribed spacer 2 and large subunit ribosomal RNA". The stretch from base 1 to 119 matches the Rfam family "5.8S ribosomal RNA", at positions 36 to 154 of the family's 154-position model. The record is from RNAcentral.